This is a long non-coding RNA of Glycine soja, 634 nucleotides long. RefSeq lists it as uncharacterized. NCBI's taxonomy places the organism in Eukaryota, Viridiplantae, Streptophyta, Magnoliopsida, Fabales, Fabaceae. The record is from RefSeq and is a predicted model, not a curated record. The transcript is spliced from 3 exons.
CAUAGGCAUUAAACUCAAAAAAUAGUCUAUUUUAUCUAUAAGUAAAUAAAUAUAGUUAUUAAAAAAAAUAGUACAUUUAUUUAGCUAUUGCCAUUGACGAAAAUUGUUAUAUCCUCCAAACUCAUGUUUGGAACCACAUAAUUGCCAUUUCUUAUAACAGUAAAAUAGUUAGAAUUUAAUUUUAUCUUGCUUUUGCUUCUCUUCUUAGUUUCUUCCAGAUUUAUAUGCAUCUGUUCUGUGCCUCAAUUUGUGCUCUUAUACGCGUAAUGGAUUCUGUACAUGUUUCUGUCUCUGAUGAGUAACUUUCGUUUUUCUAACUGUCUGUGCUCAUCAUUUCAGAUUAUUGUGUAAAUUUGACAAAAUAAAAUGUGCUCCUUCUGGCUUCUUGGAAACCUAUGGUCUGAGGUUUUUAAGUUUUGACUUUUAUUGAAGAGUUUCUUAAUUGCACUUUCCUUCCAAAAUGAGCCGACCAAUGGAGGAAGAUGCAAGUUCUUUUAAGCAUAUUCGUUAUGCAACUUAGGUUUUAUGCCUAUAUAUAUAUAUAUAUAUAUAUCUAAUGUUUUGUAUGGAAUACUAGAGUAAAAGUUUAUGCGUUAGUGUAAAUUGUCUUACAUAGUUAUCUAAUGAUAAUUUA